This 431-nucleotide ribosomal RNA is filed under the name uncultured bacterium. Its description in RNAcentral is "partial 16S ribosomal RNA". It matches the Rfam family "Bacterial small subunit ribosomal RNA", at positions 29 to 507 of the family's 1533-position model. The record is from RNAcentral.
AACGAACGCUGGCGGCAGGCCUAACACAUGCAAGUCGAGCGCCCUUUCGGGGGAGCGGCGGCCGGGUGAGUAACGCGUGGGAAUAUGCCCUUCUCUACGGAAUAGCCUCGGGAAACUGAGAGUAAUACCGUAUACGCCCUAUGGGGGAAAGAUUUAUCGGGGAAGGAUUAGCCCGCGUUGGAUUAGGUAGUUGGUGGGGUAAUGGCCUACCAAGCCGACGAUCCAUAGCUGGUUUGAGAGGAUGAUCAGCCACACUGGGACUUAGACACGGCCCAGACUCCUACGGGAGGCAGCAGUGGGGAAUCUUAGACAAUGGGGGCAACCCUGAUCUAGCCAUGACGCGUGAGUGAUGAAGGCCUUAGGGUUGUAAAGCUCUUUCAGCUGGGAAGAUAAUGACGGUACCAGCAGAAGAAGCCCCGGCUAACUCCGUG